Molecule: ribosomal RNA, 484 nt
Filed under: uncultured bacterium
Lineage: Bacteria
Description: partial 16S ribosomal RNA
Rfam family: Bacterial small subunit ribosomal RNA
Source: RNAcentral
AUUGAACGCUGGCGGCAUGCUUUACACAUGCAAGUCGAACGGCAGCGCGGGCUUCGGCCUGGCGGCGAGUGGCGAACGGGUGAGUAAUGCAUCGGAACGUGCCCCGUAGUGGGGGAUAGCCCGGCGAAAGCCGGAUUAAUACCGCAUACGACCCGAGGGUGAAAGCGGGGGACCGAAAGGCCUCGCGCUAUUUGAGCGGCCGAUGUCGGAUUAGCUAGUUGGUGGGGUAAAGGCUUACCAAGGCGACGAUCCGUAGCUGGUCUGAGAGGACGACCAGCCACACUGGGACUGAGACACGGCCCAGACUCCUACGGGAGGCAGCAGUGGGGAAUUUUGGACAAAGGGGGCAACCCUGAUCCAGCCAUGCCGCGUGCGGGAAGAAGGCCUUCGGGUUGUAAACCGCUUUUGUUCGGGAAGAAAUCCUGUGGGCUAAUACCCCGGGGGGAUGACGGUACCGGAAGAAUAAGCACCGGCUAACUACGUG